CUCGUGUAAUAGUAAUCCUCAAUGGAACAUAUAAACGCAUGUACCUUUGCACUUCAUUAGCAUGUUCAAGAUAAAUUUUACGAAUCAAAUUUCAAAUUAUCCGUUAAAAAUUACUAUCGGGAGAUUAUUAUUUUUUUUUUGUAUAUUCAAAAACUUCAAGUGGUCGUUGAAUCGCUUGUUCGAGUGACGCUUAGGGAGCUACCAUUUGAUUUUUAUGGGGGGGGGGGGCUAGGAUGAAAUUUGAAAAAAUAGGCAGGACAGGAGUUUUGAGUAAAAAAAAGUCAGGAUGAGACACUUGCAAAAAAAAAAAGUCAGGACGACAAUUUAGGUAAAAAAAAGUCUGGAUAAACUAAAAAAAAAAAAAAAAGGCAGGACCGAACAGAGUGAAAAAUAAAAAGGCAGGACAGAGAUUACAGCUAAAAAAAAAUGCAGGACAAAAUUUUUCAUCCUAGCCCCUCCCCCCCCCCCCCCCCCAUAAAAAUCAAAUGGUAGCUCCCUUAC
Molecule: long non-coding RNA, 501 nt
Filed under: Mytilus galloprovincialis (Mediterranean mussel)
Lineage: Eukaryota; Metazoa; Mollusca; Bivalvia; Mytilida; Mytilidae
Source: RNAcentral